CCUACGGGCGGCAGCAGUGGGGAAUAUUGCACAAUGGAGGCAACCCUGAUGCAGCGAUGCCGCGUGAAGGAAGACGUCUCUAGGUAUGUUAAAUUCUAUCAGCAGGGAAGAAAAUGACGGUACCUGACUAAGAAGCCAAGGCUAACUACGUGCAGGCAGCCGCGGUAAUACGUAGGGGGCAAGCGUUAUCCGGAUUUACUGGGUGGAAAGGGGGCGUAGGCGGUUUAGCAAGUCAGAAGUGAAAGCCCGGGGCUCAACGCCGGGACUGCUUUUGAAACUGUUGAACUAGAUUGUAGUAGAGGUAAGUGGAAUUCCUGGUGUAGCGGUGAAAUGCUUAGAGAUUAGGAGGAACACCAGUUGCGAAGGCAGCUUACUGGACUGUAAAUGACGCUGAGGCUCGAAAGCGUGGGGAGCAAACAGGAUUAGAUACCCUGGUAGUC
RNAcentral lists this ribosomal RNA (440 nucleotides) under uncultured bacterium. RNAcentral's name for it is "partial 16S ribosomal RNA". It matches the Rfam family "Bacterial small subunit ribosomal RNA", at positions 338 to 795 of the family's 1533-position model. The record is from RNAcentral.